RNAcentral lists this small RNA (551 nucleotides) under Pongo abelii (Sumatran orangutan). Its description in RNAcentral is "processed transcript". Lineage: Eukaryota; Metazoa; Chordata; Mammalia; Primates; Hominidae. The record is from RNAcentral.
GAAACUAUUGGAAAGUUUUUCCAAGCCGACAUUGCAGAAAAUGCUUUGAAAAAUUCCUUAGAAACAGAAAUACCUACUGUCAGUGUUUUAGCUGAUGAAGAAUUCCUUCCCUUCAGAGAAAAUACAUUUGACCUGGUGGUUAGCAGUUUAAGUUUGCAUUGGGUGAAUGACCUUCCUAGAGCACUUGAACAGAUUCAUUAUAUUUUAAAACCAGAUGGAGUGUUUAUCGGUGCAAUGUUUGGAGGUGACACACUCUAUGAACUUCGGUGUUCCUUACAGUUAGCGGAAACGGAAAGAGAAGGAGGAUUUUCUCCACACAUUUCUCCUUUCACUGCUGUCAAUGACCUGGGACAUCUGCUUGGGAGAGCUGGCUUUAAUACUCUGACUGUGGACACUGAUGAAAUUCAAGUUAACUAUCCUGGAAUGUUUGAAUUGAUGGAAGAUUUACAAGGUAAGGCACUUUAAAGAAUUUUUAGACUCCAUUGGGAAAGGUAGGCCAAAAAAAAAAGAAUUUUUAGACUCCAUUUGAGAGAAACAUUUUGAGAGCCAGC